CAAUGUUUUUGAUCAAAUCAUUUGAUUUUUUCCUACAGAAUUGUUUGAGCUCCUUAUAUAUUCUGGCUAUGAAUCCCUCAUCAGAUGGGGAAGAAACUGAGUCUUGAAGAGAUUGUGUAACUUUGCAGUGAAUGCAAGCACUGGUAAUUACAAAGUGUGAAUUAAAAACCCAAAAUGCUGCCUGCUAGCAGAAUGGUAAAUUAUUUAACCUCUGUAAGCCUAUGUUUCCUUACUUGUAAAACAAAUAAAACAGUUCCUGUUUUUCUGCGAA
Molecule: non-coding RNA, 271 nt
Organism: Macaca mulatta (Rhesus monkey)
Lineage: Eukaryota; Metazoa; Chordata; Mammalia; Primates; Cercopithecidae
Source: RefSeq, a predicted model, not a curated record